UACGUAGGGUGCAAGCGUUAAUCGAAAUUACUGGGCGUAAAGCGUGCGCAGGCGGUUGGUCAAGACAGAUGUGAAAUCCCCGGGCUUAACCUGGGAAUGGCAUUUGUGACUGAUUAGCUAGAGUGUGUCAGAGGGGGGUAGAAUUCCACGUGUAGCAGUGAAAUGCGUAGAGAUGUGGAGGAAUACCGAUGGCGAAGGCAGCCCCCUGGGAUAACACUGACGCUCAUGCACGAAAGCGUGGGGAGCAAACAGG
Molecule: ribosomal RNA, 253 nt
Filed under: uncultured bacterium
Lineage: Bacteria
Description: partial 16S ribosomal RNA
Rfam family: Bacterial small subunit ribosomal RNA
Source: RNAcentral